This 82-nucleotide transfer RNA is filed under the name Perkinsus olseni. RNAcentral describes it as "tRNA-Leu". It matches the Rfam family "tRNA". From Rfam's summary of the family: Transfer RNA (tRNA) molecules are approximately 80 nucleotides in length. The record is from RNAcentral. Lineage: Eukaryota; Perkinsozoa; Perkinsida; Perkinsidae.
GAGAGUUCGCCCGAGUGGUCAAGGGGGUGGACUCAAAAUCCACUAGGCACCGUCCGCGUGGGUUCGAACCCCUCAGCACUCA